CACAAAACUAGAGAUGCACGAUAAAUAGGUAAGCAUAUGGGAAUGGGCCGUUAUUAGCUAAAAAUGCCAACAUUGGAAAAUCUAGUUUAACGCCGAUGUGCAAAACCGAUGUCAAAGCUGACGUGCAUACCUAUACAACGUAGGUAGAUGACGUGCAUACCUAUACAACGUAGGUAGAUGACGUGCAUACCUAUACAACGUAGGUAGAUGACGUGCAUACCUAUACAACGUAGGUAGAUGACGUGCAUACCUAUACAACGUAGGUAGAUGACGUGCAUACCUAUACAACGUAGGUAGAUGACGUGCAUACCUAUACAACGUAGGUAGAUGACGUGCAUACCUAUACAACGUAGGUAGAUGACGUGCAUACCUAUACAACGUAGGUAGAUGACGUGCAUACCUAUACAACGUAGGUAGAUGACGUGCAUACCUAUACAACGUAGGUAGAUGACGUGCAUACCUAUACAACGUAGGUAGAUGACGUGCAUACCUAUACAACGUAGGUAGAUGACGUGCAUACCUAUAUAACGUAGGUAGAUGACGUGCAUACGUAGAUGACGUGCAUACCUAUAUAACAUAGGUAGAUGUCGUGCAUACCUAUACAACGUAGGUAGAUGACGUAAUGACGCCACGAAAAACACAGCGCUACAGGUGCAACACGGCGUUCCUAACCGAGCCCACAAUGUCUGCCGUGUGGAUCUAUUUUGGUGUUUCGAAGGAAGAUAACAAAAAGGCCAUCUGCAACGUUUGUGCUGCUGUUAUUUCCCGAGGAGGAGAGAAAGUGAAAUCUUUCAAUACCACAAACCUAAUUACUCAUUUGAAAGUGCAUCACCCCCCCCAGACGUUCAGCGACUACUUCGGGAAAAAAGCUGAAUAAAAACAAAAGUGCACACUUCCAACAACUAAACAAGUUCAAGUCGAGCAGUCAUUUGAAAGAGCAAGAACAUUUCAGCGAGACAACUCAAAGGUGAAAUCCAUUAAUGCCAAGAUAAUGAAAUUCAUUGCCCUUGACAGCCCAGGUACACACCACCAAGUAGCCAAUAUUUUUCAGAUGUUGCCCUACCGGAGUUACAGUAUUGUCGAAACUCACCUCCAUGAGCUACUUGCUAUGAGCGUCACUCUUAUUAGCUUCACUACCGACAUUUGGACGAGCGAUGUCAGCCCCAUGAGCAUGCUGAGUCUGACAGCACAGUGGGUCAAUGAGGAUUUCGUACUGAGCAAAGCCGUAUUGCAUGCUCAAGAAUGUCCUGGUUCUCUACCCCUGUUGUCAUUUCAAUGGCAUUUGAGAACAUGUUUGAAACUUGGAAUCAUGAACACACUCCUAGCUCCAUUCGAACAACUGACUCGAGAAAUAAGCUCAUCAAACUGCAGCAGACGUGAUGUCGUGGCAUUGAAACUCCUGCUCCACAAAACUGCAGACAGACCGUGGGAUGCAAACUUGAGGCUGUGAACAAGCGAUUAGGUGUCAUUCUCUCUGAGCCUCUUCACUGUGUCGCCACCAUGCUCGAUGCUAGGUAGAAGUACCGCUACUUCGACGCAGACAAGAAACGGGGUUUACGUGAAAUGUUACAUACACAGCUGGACAAGAUGGAAAUGGACACAGUGACAGUGCCCACCGAGGAAGAGAGGCCACAGACGGACAGACUGAGCUGAAACUUCACUGCUUGACAUGUAUGAUAAUCCUGGUUGAGAAUGAAACGACAGAACAAACUAACAACGAAACAGCACAGCAAGUAAGUGAAAGAAAUAGGUUUUGAUUAUGUUUCACUGGUAAUGGAGACAUACGUGAAUGCCAAAAAAAUUACUUUUUGGUUAGUGUGUGUGUUUCAACUAUUUAACUGUACUAGAAUGCUUAAAAGGCCACUAAAGUAUUACAUAUCGGUAUCGGGGUUUUUUGGCAAGGAAAAUAUUGGAUCUCAGUAUCUGCCAAAAAUGUAGUAUCAGUGUAUCCCUACAAAUAACUAUUGUGAGCGUAAAGAAGUUAAACAAAAUUCUCUGUCAUGCGCACGCACACACACACACACACACACACACACACACACACACACACACACA
Oncorhynchus keta (chum salmon) is the source of this 2055-nucleotide long non-coding RNA. RefSeq lists it as uncharacterized. The transcript has 3 exons. The record is from RefSeq and is a predicted model, not a curated record. NCBI's taxonomy places the organism in Eukaryota, Metazoa, Chordata, Actinopteri, Salmoniformes, Salmonidae.